RNAcentral lists this ribosomal RNA (433 nucleotides) under uncultured bacterium. RNAcentral's name for it is "partial 16S ribosomal RNA". It matches the Rfam family "Bacterial small subunit ribosomal RNA", at positions 29 to 507 of the family's 1533-position model. The record is from RNAcentral.
AACGAACGCUGGCGGCAUGCCUAACACAUGCAAGUCGAACGAGACCUUUGGGUCUAGUGGCGCACGGGUGCUUAACGCUUGGGAAUCUGCCCUUGGGUUCGGAAUAACAGUGAGAAAUUGCUGCUAAUACCGGAUGAUGUCUUCGGACCAAAGAUUUAUCGCCCAGGGAUGAGCCCGCGUAGGAUUAGCUAGUUGGUGGGGUAAUGGCCUACCAAGGCGACGAUCCUUAGCUGGUCUGAGAGGAUGAUCAGCCACACUGGGACUGAGACACGGCCCAGACUCCUACGGGAGGCAGCAGUGGGGAAUAUUGGACAAUGGGCGCAAGCCUGAUCCAGCAAUGCCGCGUGAGUGAUGAAGGCCUUAGGGUUGUAAAGCUCUUUUACCAGGGAUGAUAAUGACAGUACCUGGAGAAUAAGCGCCGGCUAACUCCGUG